This 62-nucleotide transfer RNA is filed under the name Brassica napus (rape). It matches the Rfam family "tRNA". Rfam says of the family: Transfer RNA (tRNA) molecules are approximately 80 nucleotides in length. Their secondary structure includes four short double-helical elements and three loops (D, anti-codon, and T loops). The record is from Rfam by way of RNAcentral. Lineage: Eukaryota; Viridiplantae; Streptophyta; Magnoliopsida; Brassicales; Brassicaceae.
GCGUCUGUAGUCCAACGGUUAGGAUAAUUGCCUUCCAAGCAAUAGAUCCGGGUUCAGACGCA